This is a long non-coding RNA of Solanum tuberosum (potato), 932 nucleotides long. RefSeq lists it as uncharacterized. NCBI's taxonomy places the organism in Eukaryota, Viridiplantae, Streptophyta, Magnoliopsida, Solanales, Solanaceae. The record is from RefSeq and is a predicted model, not a curated record. The transcript is spliced from 3 exons.
ACAAACAAAAUGAAAGAAAGAAAAAAUAUCCAUCAGAAAUGGAAAUAUCUCGAUAAAGCCGACCCAUCGUCUUCCUCACCUUUGGCCGCCAUUGAUGAACUCAGAAACAAAUGAAAUUAAUGAAGAAAACCUUCUUAGCGAAAGAGAUUAGAAAUGAGGUGCAAUGAGCUUGGAUGGAUUACAUCCAGAACGCUGAAAACUCUCAAAGGUGUAAGUGACAGAUUGUGGGUUAGAUCAAUUCAUUCCGUUCUUCAGGGAAGAUCUAUGGAAAAGUAAAGCCAAAACGGAUCUAUCAAAACAGAUAUUCUAAAUAAAUACUUGGUCGAUACGAGACUUUUUCUUAGUUCAGUGGGGUUAACUCUCACAAGUGCCAUGUAAUCCUGUUUGAGGAAGACUUCUUCAACUCGAUGUUGCCCAGAUCUACUCUUUUAUAUCGAAGAGGCAUUUGUAGCAUCAACAAUAUCAAUUUGCAAAGGAGUGGGGAACUCCUCCUCUUGACUAGUAUUAGUUGUUGGAAUGUUCAACAACAACUUUGUUCAAGUCUUCAUGAUCAUAUUGAUCCAUUAUAUUUAACUUAUUUAAUUCUGGGCUUUUAUUGUGAUCUGUAUUCAUUGAUGGAUUAUUUAUAUGUUGUGUUUGUAAUUGUGUUAGUUUCUUUACGACUUUCUUUACUUGUGACUUCAUGCAUACUAGUACCCUAUUCCUCAUGUAUGUUAUCUGAUUUGUAGAAGGCAUUACGAAUCCACCCUUUAGUAUUCUUCUACUCCAGUUAUCUUCUAAAACAAUAAUAUCCUUUGUUGCAUUUGCAUUCUCUAUAUCCUCCUCUGUAAGUGCAUUGAAAGGGUUAUUAGUGGUAACCUUUUUUUUUUCUCUAUUUCCAUUUCAGUGGUAUUAACACAGUUGAUGUUAUUCUAUAAUUUCUUCUUAGGAAU